GGCGGAGCAGAGCGGAACGUCAACGAACGCGAGUACGAUCGCGAGGCAGAUUUUGGAGAAAAUUCCGGGGAAUAAUGAUUCCAAUGCGUCGUACUCACAGGAUCGGUAUAUUUUCCAUGUUAAACGCACGGAUGGACUUACUGUUCUCUGUAUGGCGGAUGAUAGUGCUGGAAGGAGAAUCCCUUUCGCAUUUCUUGAAGAAAUUCACCAAAAAUUCGUGAGAACGUAUGGCCGAGCAGUUCUGUCUGCGCAAGCUUAUGGUAUGAAUGAUGAAUUUUCGAGGGUCCUUAGCCAGCAAAUGGAAUACUACUCCAGUGAUCCAAAUGCAGACAGAAUAAACAGGCUAAAGGGUGAAAUGAGUCAGGUGCGCACUGUCAUGGUUGAGAAUAUCGAUAAAGUUCUAGAGAGAGGUGAUCGCUUGGAAUUGCUGGUCGAUAAAACAGCUAAUAUGCAAGAGAAUACUUUCCGCUUCAGAAAGCAGGCUCGCCGGUUCAGAAGCACUGUAUGGUGGAGAAAUGUCAAACUCACGGUGGCUCUGAUAUUCCUCCUCCUAGUGAUAAUAUAUGUUAUUUUGGCUUUCGCUUGUCAUGGACUUACACUUCCAACUUGUUUGAAGUGAGGAUUACUGGAUCAGCAUCACAUCUUUUGUCCUUAAAACAUUAUUUUGCAAUUUUUUUCAUCUAAAUCAAUCUUGGGGUAAAGCUUGGAUGUGUGUUUUGGCAUGGAUUUCAUCCUUGAUAUGUAUUAAUCGUGUGAUAUCCUUAAGCUUAUAAGCAAGCCAAAACUCUUGGUUUGAUAAUGUAGAUUGUAUUUAUAUAUAAUUUUGAC
RNAcentral lists this unclassified non-coding RNA (828 nucleotides) under Hevea brasiliensis (rubber tree). The record is from RNAcentral. Lineage: Eukaryota; Viridiplantae; Streptophyta; Magnoliopsida; Malpighiales; Euphorbiaceae.